AACGAACGCUGGCGGCAGGCCUAACACAUGCAAGUCGAGCGAGGACUUCGGUCCUAGCGGCGGACGGGUGAGUAACGCGUGGGAACGUGCCCCUUGGUACGGAAUAGCCCCGGGAAACUGGGAGUAAUACCGUAUGAGCUCUACGGAGGAAAGAUUUAUCGCCAAGGGAUCGGCCCGCGUUGGAUUAGGUAGUUGGUGGGGUAAUGGCCUACCAAGCCGACGAUCCAUAGCUGGUUUGAGAGGAUGAUCAGCCACACUGGGACGAAGACACGGCCCAGACUCCUACGGGAGGCAGCAGUGGGGAAUCUUGGACAAUGGGCGCAAGCCUGAUCUAGCCAUGCCGCGUGAGCGAUGAAGGCCUUAGGGUUGUAAAGCUCUUUCAGCUGGGAGGAUAAUGACUGUACCAGCAGAAGAAGCCCCGGCUAACUCCGUGCCAGCCGCCGCGGUAA
RNAcentral lists this ribosomal RNA (449 nucleotides) under uncultured bacterium. RNAcentral's name for it is "partial 16S ribosomal RNA". It matches the Rfam family "Bacterial small subunit ribosomal RNA", at positions 29 to 523 of the family's 1533-position model. The record is from RNAcentral.